This 627-nucleotide ribosomal RNA is filed under the name uncultured Hyphomicrobiales bacterium. RNAcentral's name for it is "bacterial SSU rRNA". It matches the Rfam family "Bacterial small subunit ribosomal RNA", at positions 126 to 787 of the family's 1533-position model. Lineage: Bacteria; Pseudomonadati; Pseudomonadota; Alphaproteobacteria; Hyphomicrobiales. The record is from RNAcentral.
CUACCUUGAGCUACGGGAUAACAGAGAGAAAUUUCUGCUAAUACCGUAUGUGGCCUUUGGGCGAAAGAUUUAUCGGCUUAAGAUGAGCCCGCGUUGGAUUAGCUGGUUGGUGGGGUAAAGGCCUACCAAGGCGACGAUCCAUAGCUGGUCUGAGAGGAUGAUCAGCCACACUGGGACUGAGACACGGCCCAGACUCCUACGGGAGGCAGCAGUGGGGAAUAUUGGACAAUGGGCGCAAGCCUGAUCCAGCCAUGCCGCGUGAGUGAAGAAGGCCUUAGGGUUGUAAAGCUCUUUCACCGGUGAAGAUAAUGACGGUAGCCGGAGAAGAAGCCCCGGCUAACUUCGUGCCAGCAGCCGCGGUAAUACGAAGGGGGCUAGCGUUGUUCGGAUUUACUGGGCGUAAAGCGCGCGUAGGCGGAUAGAUAAGUCAGAGGUGAAAUCCCGGGGCUCAACCCCGGAAUUGCCUUUGAUACUGUUUAUCUUGAGUGCAGAAGAGGUAAGUGGAAUUCCGAGUGUAGAGGUGAAAUUCGUAGAUAUUCGGAGGAACACCAGUGGCGAANGCGGCUUACUGGUCUGCAACUGACGCUGANGCGCGAAAGCGUGGGGAGCAAACAGGAUUAGAUACCC